This 174-nucleotide ribosomal RNA is filed under the name uncultured soil bacterium. RNAcentral's name for it is "partial 16S ribosomal RNA". It matches the Rfam family "Bacterial small subunit ribosomal RNA", at positions 26 to 227 of the family's 1533-position model. The record is from RNAcentral.
AGAACGAACGCUGGCGGCAUGCCUAAUACAUGCAAGUCGAACGAACACUUCGGUGUUAGUGGCGCACGGGUGCGUAACGCGUGGGAAUCUGCCCUUGGGUUCGGAAUAACAGUUGGAAACGACUGCUAAUACCGGGAUGAUAUCGAAAGAUCAAAGAUUUAUCGCCCAGGGAUG